GGGUCUAUUGGAAUAUCCUUCUGGUUUGCAAGUAAAAGUAUUCCUUGUGAAUUAAGAAUGCUGAAGUCAGUCCAAAAGACCGUGAACCUUUCAUAAUUUGACUACACAACAACGAGCACAGAAGAAAAAUGACUGCCAACCAGUCACCUUUGAGAUUGAACAAUAAUCUGCAUCAAUAUACGAGGAGAUACAAUCAACUGCAGAAACAGGAGGUACACUGAUGUAGGUGUGGAAGUACUACACCACAUGCUUCUGCUUUACUAUUAUUCAUCCAUGUCAUUGUGGAAUACAAAA
Molecule: long non-coding RNA, 294 nt
Organism: Callorhinchus milii (elephant shark)
Lineage: Eukaryota; Metazoa; Chordata; Chondrichthyes; Chimaeriformes; Callorhinchidae
Exons: 3
Source: RefSeq, a predicted model, not a curated record